UACGUAGGGGGCUAGCGUUGUCCGGAAUCAUUGGGCGUAAAGCGCGUGUAGGCGGUUCGGUAAGUCCGCUGUGAAAGUCGGGGGCUCAACCCUCGGAAGCCGGUGGAUACUGUCGGGCUAGAGUACGGAAGAGGCGAGUGGAAUUCCUGGUGUAGCGGUGAAAUGCGCAGAUAUCAGGAGGAACACCAAUUGCGAAGGCAGCUCGCUGGGACGUUACUGACGCUGGGACGCGAAAGCGUGGGGAGCAAACAGG
Molecule: ribosomal RNA, 253 nt
Filed under: uncultured bacterium
Lineage: Bacteria
Description: partial 16S ribosomal RNA
Rfam family: Bacterial small subunit ribosomal RNA
Source: RNAcentral